GUAAUAACAUUCUACAUAAUUCUUAAGUUCGAUUCAAGAUCACAAAACCGCGCAUAUACCUUGCAGUAACUAGUACAUGCCUACAAGUUUUCCAGGCAGACACGCACUUGCUUGGAAGUAGCAACAUACGACACUGGAAAAAAAAACAAUAAAAAUAAAACGACAGCACUCGUCUCCUUCUCCUUCGCCUCUGCAACAGCGGCAAAUCCUACAUGCCCACCAAAAUCUGUAUCCAUAUAAGAGCUCAGAAAUUGCAUUAAAAUGGCGGCACCGGCGAGUGCCUCUUGGCAACCUCAGGAAGAGGGAUUGAAGGAGAUCUGUGGGUUGCUGGAGCACCAGAUUUCUCAUUCUUCUUCUGCUGAUAAGUCCCAGAUUUGGCAGCAACUUCAGCACUACUCUCAAAUCCCCGAUUUCAACAAUUAUCUUGUUUUCAUUCUAACUCGCACUAAGGGUAAAUCCGUGGAAAUUCGACAAGCUGCUGGCCUGCUGCUGAAAAACAACCUCAGAAAUGCAUAUAAAUCAAUGACUAUGGCUUACCAACAAUUUAUUAAGUCGGAGUUGUUGCCUUGUAUAGGAGCAGCAGAUAGGCAUAUAAGGUCAACAGUUGGGACCAUUAUAAGUGUUAUUGUUCAAAUAGGGGGAAUUUCAGAGUGGCCUGAGCUGUUGCAGGCUCUUGUAACUUGUUUGGACAGUAAUGAUCUAAAUCACAUGGAAGGUGCCAUGGAUGCUCUGUCUAAGAUUUGUGAGGAUAUCCCUCAAGUUUUGGAUUCGGAUGUACCUGGGUUAUCUGAUCGCCCCAUCAAGAUUUUCCUCCCUCGAUUUUACCUUUUUUUCCAGUCACCACACAGUUCGUUGAGAAAGCUUGCCUUGGCUUCUGUGAAUCAGUACAUUAUGUUAAUGCCUGCUGCUUUGUAUGCAUCUAUGACUGAAUAUCUUCAGGGUUUGUUUAUUCUUGCUCGGGAUCCUACUUCAGAAGUGCGGAAAUUGGUUUGUGCAGCAUUUGUUCAGUUAAUUGAAGUCCGUCCAUUUUUCUUAGAGCCACAUUUUAGAGAUGUUAUUGACUAUAUUUUACAAGUCAACAAGGACGGUGAUCAUGAAGUAGCUCUUGAAGCAUGUGAAUUCUGGUCUGCAUACUGUGAUGCUCAGUUACCACCUGAGAACUUGAGAGAAUUCUUGCCCCGUCUAAUUCCAGUUUUGUUGUCAAACAUGGUUUAUGCUGAUGAUGACGAGUCACUUGUUGAUGCUGAGGAGGAUGAGUCUCUUCCAGAUCGUGAUCAGGAUCUGAAACCACGUUUUCAUUCAUCACGACUUCAUGGAUCAGAUAGUGUGGAUGGUGAUGAUGAUGACAUAGUUAAUAUAUGGAAUUUAAGAAAAUGCAGUGCAGCUGCUCUGGAUGUUCUAUCAAAUGUGUUUGGAGAUGAGAUUCUUCCAACUCUGCUGCCUGUUGUUCAGGGCAAGUUGUCUGCCACUGGUGAUGAAGGCUGGAAAGACAGGGAAGCAGCUGUCUUGGCUCUUGGUGCUGUAGCUGAGGGUUGUAUUAAUGGUCUUUAUCCUCAUCUCUCUCAGAUCGUGGAAUUUCUUAUUCCCUUGUUGGAUGAUAAGUUUCCCCUCAUACGGAGUAUUUCUUGCUGGACACUUUCUAGAUUCAGCAAAUACAUUGUUCAGGAAAGUGGCCACAAAAAAGGAUAUGAACUGUUUGACAAGGUUCUUAUAGGUCUUUUACGGAGAAUAUUAGAUACUAACAAGCGGGUCCAAGAGGCUGCUUGUUCGGCUUUUGCAACACUGGAAGAGGAGGCUGCUGAAGAGUUGGCACCACGCUUAGAGAUUAUUCUACAGCACCUCAUGUGUGCUUUUGGAAAAUAUCAGAGACGGAAUCUCAGAAUUGUAUAUGAUGCUAUUGGAACUCUUGCGGAUGCUGUUGGAGCAGAACUGAAUCAGCCAACUUAUCUUGAAAAUCUGAUGCCACCAUUGAUCGGAAAGUGGCAGCAGCUUUCAAAUUCAGAUAAAGAUCUUUUUCCAUUGCUUGAGUGCUUUACAUCCAUAGCACAGGCACUGGGUCCAGGGUUCUCUCAAUUUGCUGAGCCUGUGUUUCAGAGGUGUAUAAAUAUCAUCCAGAGCCAACUUGUGGCCAAGGUUGAUCCCAUUUCAAUUGGAGUACCAUACGAUAAAGAGUUUAUUGUCUGCUCUCUGGAUCUCCUCUCUGGGCUUGCUGAGGGUCUUGGUAGUGGGAUAGAGAGUUUGGUUUCACAAAGUAGUUUGAGGGACCUGCUUCUGCAAUGUUGCAUGGAUGAUGCCUCUGAUGUUCGACAAAGUGCCUUUGCACUCCUUGGAGACCUUGCAAGAGUGUGUGCUGUUCAUUUGCACCCUCGACUGCCUGAAUUUCUUGAUGUUGCAGCCAAACAACUGAACACUACCAAGCUUAAGGAAACUGUGUCAGUAGCAAAUAAUGCUUGUUGGGCUAUCGGAGAAUUAGCGGUUAAGGUUCAUCAAGAAAUUUCUCCUAUUGUUAUGACCAUUAUAUCGUGCUUAGUUCCAAUACUUCAACAUUCAGAGGAGCUGAACAAGUCCCUCAUUGAAAAUAGCGCAAUCACACUUGGGAGGCUUGCAUGGGUUUGUCCUGAACUUGUAUCACCACACAUGGAGCAUUUCAUGCAAUCAUGGUGCAUUGCUUUGUCUACAAUUCGUGAUGAUAUUGAAAAGGAGGAUGCUUUCCGAGGUCUAUGUGCAAUGGCUCGAGCAAAUCCUUCAGGAGCUCUAAGUUCACUAGUUUUCAUGUGCAAAGCUAUAGCAAGUUGGCAUGAAAUAAGGAGCAAAGAGCUGCACAAUGAAGUUUGUCAGGUGUUGCAUGGUUAUAAACAGAUGCUUAGAAAUGGAACAUGGGACGAGUAUAUGUCUGCUCUGGAGCCUCCAGUAAAGGAAAAGCUGUCAAAAUAUCAAGUAUAAUAGAAUUCCAGUUUCACUUGCUGGAAUUCUUGCAUGGUAUUUGGGUCUUCUGUGCUGGGUAUUUGCUUCAGCCAUGACAAUUGUUUUGUGCUUUGUCCUAUAUGAUUGGCCACAAGUCGUUUGGGCAUAGACCAGGAUUUCGUCACGAUUUUUUAUCAUGAAAAGCAUUGGUAUUGCCGUAAUUCGAUGAAGCUUGUAGCUAUGUGCACCUCUUCAAAACAUUCAUCAGAUUUGUUGUUUGCACUUCAUGUGGUUUAAGAAAAAUGAAGAAAUGGGAUGUAGAAAUGGUGGGCAGGGGUGCAACUUCCAAGCUUUUUGGAGCAUUUUUCUUAUUUAUGUCUGGUGCUAGGAUGGCCAAUAAUUAUCUCAUUCAAGCUUCCAAUUCUUAUUCUUUUUGGCUCUGGAUUUUUUUUUUCUUUCCUCCAGUUGACAGGUUUUUGUGUGAUUUCCUCAGAUUAUUGUUCAAUGGAUUUUGACAGUGAUUUGAUUAUUAGAAGUUUUUCCAUGUCAUUAUUCUUCAAGGUUUGUAACUAAUAGACAAUCAUGAAUUCAGUUUCUUGUUUUACAAGGGACUGAGAUUGGGGUUGUGCAAACAAUCAUGUAUCAUGUAACCUUGUAUCUUAUAGUAUUUAUUCAAUCAGUAUUUUGUUUGGAC
This 3598-nucleotide unclassified non-coding RNA is filed under the name Hevea brasiliensis (rubber tree). Lineage: Eukaryota; Viridiplantae; Streptophyta; Magnoliopsida; Malpighiales; Euphorbiaceae. The record is from RNAcentral.